RNAcentral lists this long non-coding RNA (214 nucleotides) under Brassica rapa (field mustard). RNAcentral's name for it is "long non-coding RNA (BRAP_LNC007777)". Lineage: Eukaryota; Viridiplantae; Streptophyta; Magnoliopsida; Brassicales; Brassicaceae. The record is from RNAcentral.
AAAAGUGUUAGUCUUUUGUUCUAUUUUGGUAUCAUGUUUUGAGCUUCCAUUGUUUGGUUAAGAUUGAACAUGAUCUCUUUGGGGUUUGGGGGUUUUUUUAAACUUUUUUGCACCUCUAAGCUCUCAGAAUGGCUGAAAAGCAGACUGGGUUGCAUUGACAUGUAACCAAACCUUCAUUCUUUGCAAUGACAUUUACAAUUUAGCAAAAAAAAAA